AACGAACGUUGGCGGCGUGGAUUAGGCAUGCAAGUCGAACGAAGCUGGGGUAGCAAUAUCCCAGACUGAGUGGCGAAAGGGGCAGUAAAGCGUGGGUAACCUACCCCAGGGACUGGGAUAGCCAUCCCAACGGAUGGGUAAUACCGGGCGACGUGGUUGGGGGGCAUCUCUUGACCACCAAAUGAGUUUCGCCCUGGGAGGGGCUCACGUGCUAUUAGCUUGUUGGCGGGGUAACGGCCCACCAAGGCAAAGAUGGCUAGCGGGUGUGAGAGCACGACCCGCGCCACUGGCACUGUGACACUGGCCAGACUCCUACGGGAGGCUGCAGUCGAGGAUCUUCGGCAAUGGGCGCAAGCCUGACCGAGCGACGCCGCGUGUGCGAUGAAGGCCUUCGGGUUGUAAAGCACUGUCGAGGGGGAGGAAGCCGCAAGGUUGACCUAUCCCUGGAGGAAGCACGGGCUAAGUUCGUGCCAGCAGCCGCAGUAAAAC
This 489-nucleotide ribosomal RNA is filed under the name uncultured bacterium. RNAcentral's name for it is "bacterial SSU rRNA". It matches the Rfam family "Bacterial small subunit ribosomal RNA", at positions 28 to 526 of the family's 1533-position model. The record is from RNAcentral.